Molecule: non-coding RNA, 93 nt
Organism: Rhodocollybia butyracea
Lineage: Eukaryota; Fungi; Basidiomycota; Agaricomycetes; Agaricales; Omphalotaceae
Source: the annotation of a GenBank genome assembly
GGUCCAAUAAUGUAGAGGUUAACACGCGCGAUGACUUAAUGGUAUACUUCUGUAGUUCUCCGUGAGAUCCAGGUUCGAGUCCUGGUUGGACUG